UGAGAAUGGCGAGCAGUGAACUUGCUGCCUGGGAAAGAACAGAGGCUGAGGCAGUGUCCGGUUCACAGCGUCCGCAGAGGUGGGCAGCAAGGCCAGGGUCAGGAAUCCAUGGGCAGCAAUUCCUGUUUGCUAGGCUUUGUCCUGGGCUCCUGGUGAGAGAGAUAGAGACGACCCUGCCCAGUCUGUGAGAUGCUCAGAGUCAAGUGCAUAGCUCGGACACAGAAGGGAAAACUUCCAUGCAGCGAGGAGCCUGCUGCAAUGGAGGUAAUGAAGCCAGGUGUGCUGCACAAGGAAGGCGAGCUACUGAGCACCAACAUGGAGCAAGCCCAGGACGGCCUGCCUGAGCAGAGCACAGGCGAAAACUUCAUCUGACUCAGGACUCUGCUCUGGGGCAGAACAAUGCCAGAGGAGGAAGCGAAUCAAUAGGAGACCGGAACAAAGAUGGCAGUAGCAGCAUCGGUGCAGCCCAGAAGGGCCCCGGGAUCACCCGUCUACACUUCCUGUGCAAAGAUGGAGCCAAAGACUCGAGCUGCCUGGCUUCUUCCCAACUACCUUUCCCCUCAGCCUGUUUCUUCAGAUUUUCUGCCUGUUUCCUGUCAAUCCCACAGCAUCUUUCUAAUUAAAUCCUUUCCUG
Molecule: long non-coding RNA, 634 nt
Organism: Chinchilla lanigera (long-tailed chinchilla)
Lineage: Eukaryota; Metazoa; Chordata; Mammalia; Rodentia; Chinchillidae
Source: Ensembl